GGAUUAGAUACCCUGGUAGUCCACGCCGUAAACGAUGUCUACUAGUCGUUGGGAGGCUUGUCCUCUUGGUGGCGCAGUUAACGCGUUAAGUAGACCGCCUGGGGAGUACGGCCGCAAGGCUAAAACUCAAAGGAAUUGACGGGGGCCCGCACAAGCGGUGGAGCAUGUGGUUUAAUUCGAUGCAACGCGAAGAACCUUACCUGCCCUUGACAUCCUCGGAAGGGACCGGAAACGGACCUGUGCCUUCGGGAACCGAGAGACAGGUGCUGCAUGGCUGUCGUCAGCUCGUGCCG
Molecule: ribosomal RNA, 293 nt
Filed under: uncultured bacterium
Lineage: Bacteria
Description: partial 16S ribosomal RNA
Rfam family: Bacterial small subunit ribosomal RNA
Source: RNAcentral